This is a non-coding RNA of Notechis scutatus (mainland tiger snake), 304 nucleotides long. The record is from RefSeq and is a predicted model, not a curated record. NCBI's taxonomy places the organism in Eukaryota, Metazoa, Chordata, Lepidosauria, Squamata, Elapidae.
GUUAGGGCCCACAAUUGCAUUUGUGAUUGGAACUGCUCCUUGAGUUUUCCCACUGCUCUGAGAACAAACUGCAGGUUGUCCAAAUGAAAAAAACAUGGAGAUUUAAAGGGACAAAACCUUCCCAGGUCUGGAAAUGUUGUGUGUGAGAAUGUGUCUAUGUGUAAUCAUUUCCAGACCUGGAGGAUGAGACCCUCUAAUAACAAUUUUAAAAAAAUGGAGCUCAUUGGCUUGUGAAAAAGCUCCCUAAAAUAAUUAUAAUGAUUGGUUUGCAUGGAGAAAGCAUGAAAUGAAUUUUUUGUAUGUG